AUUGUAGUCUGCAACCCGACUACAUGAAGCUGGAAUCGCUAGUAAUCGCGAAUCAGCAUGUCGCGGUGAAUACGUUCCCGGGUCUUGUACACACCGCCCGUCACACCAUGGGAGUUGGCAACGCCCGAAGCCAGUGACCCAACCGAGAGGAGGGAGCUGUCGAAGGCGGGGCCGGUAACUGGGGUGAAGUCGUAACAAGGUAAC
RNAcentral lists this ribosomal RNA (204 nucleotides) under uncultured bacterium. RNAcentral describes it as "partial 16S ribosomal RNA". It matches the Rfam family "Bacterial small subunit ribosomal RNA", at positions 1297 to 1500 of the family's 1533-position model. The record is from RNAcentral.